Long non-coding RNA from Anguilla rostrata (American eel), 2587 nucleotides. RefSeq lists it as uncharacterized. The record is from RefSeq and is a predicted model, not a curated record. NCBI's taxonomy places the organism in Eukaryota, Metazoa, Chordata, Actinopteri, Anguilliformes, Anguillidae. The transcript is spliced from 8 exons.
AAAAAGCUCAGCCAAUAAGAGAUUCGGCGGAGACAGAAGUACUAUAGCGACACGUCAAUCAAUUACCGUAGCAUGGACUCGUCUUUCAAGCACAAAACGCCCUGGUAUCUUUAUAGGUUUUACAUACAUUUUCCCAUCAAGCUUCAAUUUAUCCAUACAUUUCUGAUUUUUGAUUGAGUAGGCCUAUCGUUAAUUUAAGGCUCCGCUUCUCUAAAGGGACGGACUUUAUCACCACUGGAUAAUUUGUCAGAAGAGCUACCAGUACAGAAGACGCGCUGGUAAUUCUCUCGACUACGAAAGGAUCUCUUACAACAGGUUAUCCCAGCGGAACCAUGGAAAUGGAGUAAAACUACAGGAAAAAAUGUGGAGGUGCAUUUCAGGAAGAGGAUAACAUUCAUGUGGAGGGAAGCGACGUCAGGAGCUCUGCUUGAAGGAUGAGGGUGUAAUCGGGUCUCUGGUCGACAAGCUGGAGACGACUGCGAUGGGGGAGUGAUGUGUUGAGCUUAAGCCAAAAUACGGCAUAAUGUGCAAAAUCGAGAACUGGGUAGCGGAUAAAAGGAAACAUGUCCACUGCUGUCACGACUGGAACGACAAGGAGAUUGUCAUGUUGUACAAAUAUUUGACAUCAAAAUGUUUUGCUUCACCAGCCUCUAAGAGACUACCUCAGAAAGAACACUGAAUGGUUGGCUGAAAAUGAAGGAGUGGGUGGACAGACCUGACCUCCAGCACUCCCUGGGACCCCCUUCAGUGGCGGCCUGGAGAGCAGAAGCAGAGGCCCUGCAUGGAGCACAACGCUUAGAGAAGGAAACCGAGGUGAAAAAAAGACUGUGCAGACUCCAAGAAGGGCUUCAUUAUGGCUGAGGUAAUGAAAUUCCAGGAUUUUUAAAGAGGGAAGCAACGAGAGUGCUUGUCAAGGUAAGGUGAUGGGGUGCGGGCUGAGACGGGGGAAGUCUCCUGCGAUCGGACGAGCUGACAGCCGCUGCAGCACUCUGACCACAAACGUACCUCACCUUUCCCCUGGGGAGGAAAUUACUGUGUGCCCGCCACACCUGACGAGCGCCCACAUUCUGCAUUUGCUGUAUAUCGUUCAGGUAAAAUGGCUCAAGCACCCCAAUUCUACUCCUGCUCUACAUAUGCAUAUCAUAGUGCAGGUAAAAGGGCUCACAUAAAACCUGUUAUUUCUCCUCCAAAUGUAUGAACUAUGAAAACAAAAGCAAGGCUUUAUUUCCUCACCUUUCCACAUGCAUGCUCUCAUUAUUUAGAAGUAUAGUUAUGUAUAUCAUAAUAUUUCAGAAUAUUUACCUCUAGGUUCCUAAGUCAAGGUAGCGCAGUGACUGUAAUAGGAAAAGGCAAGUUAAACAAAGUGUGUAAUCCAUAACAUGAGAACUGUUUCACGGAUGAACAGCGCAUAAAAAUGUCUCAUGUCUUCUUUUAUCGCAGAUAAAUACACGUUCAACCUUUUUACUGGGCGGUGUUGCUGUUAUGUGGGCGCUUCUCCCAGGAUUGGAGUCAGUGAGUAUGUUUCCAGGGCAAGUUUAUUUAGCAGUCGGCCCCUAAAACAUCACAGGUGAACUCGAACAAAAGCAGUUUGUCACAUCUACAAGAGGAGUAGUGCGAAUGGUGUUGUCUUUAGAGGUGAUUUCUGCUCUCUAGGGGGAGUAACUGAGAGACGCCAGCCACUGCUCGCUACAUCCGUCCUUGUUGAGGCAAAGUUAUAAUUCUGAGCUUGUCUUUAUUUCCACAGGAGGGCUCAAGGUAAGGAGCAACGUUCUAAAGCGCUCAGUGUCACAUAAUGGAUUACGGCUAAUUUCUGUGCUUCUCGGUGUGAUUUUACAGGUCAGAUUUUACUGGUUUAUCUCUGCACUCCUGCCCUAGAGAACGAAAGACCUCUGUGGCUCACGGGCGUCUAAACGGAAGUGGCUGGCUCCCGUUAGGAGAGGAGGGGUGCAAUGAAGGGAUCAUUAUGUUGGUCAUCCCGUUAAUUAAGCUUCAGGUGCAACCAAGCACAUCAUGUGGCCAGUGGUGCACAUCCAAUUGGAGAUUAGGUCACAUGCUGGCAAUACAUCAACUCACAUAAAUACGCACAGGAAAAACAUGAACUCCAGGAUACGUCCUGCUGUCUGAAAUAUCGCUGCUUCUAGUCGGGCAUAACAAGGAAGGCUUGCUCUCUGCUUCAGCCUUUGGCUUAAACGAUCUCUUGCAGGGAUCUAGUGCAAAGCAGAGAUCACACGCCAGUUUGACCCCCUGUGAAUUGCUGUCAAAAUGGAAAUCUCAGACAGUGCCUUUUGUUCAGGAUAUUAGUGUAUAAUUGAGAUAGGGCCUUUAACCCUGAUUAAAGUGCAGAAAGAACAGCACACUCAAUACACAGAGAGGGAAAAUGGAUCCCACCACCACCACUGAAGGGACAUCACACAACUCAGACUGCUGUCUGCACAACAUAGAAUUGGAACUGUUUCUAUACUCAUAUGGGUGUCGGUAAAAAUGCAAUUGAAUUAAAUUAUAGCUAGAAAAGGCAGCCGUGUUUUUUAGACAUUGUAUGCUGUAUGCAUUAAUUUGCAGUGGUAUUACAUUCAAAUAACUGCCAGAG